Non-coding RNA from Rattus norvegicus (Norway rat), 63 nucleotides. Lineage: Eukaryota; Metazoa; Chordata; Mammalia; Rodentia; Muridae. The record is from Rfam.
GGGGAUUUAGCUCAGCGGUAGAGCGCUUGCCUAGCAAGCACAAGGCCCUGGGUUCAGUCCCCA